This 694-nucleotide ribosomal RNA is filed under the name Bacillus sp. SG-1. RNAcentral describes it as "bacterial SSU rRNA". It matches the Rfam family "Bacterial small subunit ribosomal RNA", at positions 1 to 680 of the family's 1533-position model. The record is from RNAcentral. Lineage: Bacteria; Bacillati; Bacillota; Bacilli; Caryophanales; Bacillaceae.
UCGGAGAGUUUGAUCCUGGCUCAGGACGAACGCUGGCGGCGUGCCUAAUACAUGCAAGUCGAGCGGACUGAUGGGAGCUUGCUCCCUGAAGUCAGCGGCGGACGGGUGAGUAACACGUGGGUAACCUGCCUGUAAGACUGGGAUAACUCCGGGAAACCGGGGCUAAUACCGGAUAGUUCUUUUCCUCGCAUGAGGAAAAGUGGAAAGGUGGCUUUUAGCUACCACUUACAGAUGGACCCGCGGCGCAUUAGCUAGUUGGUGAGGUAACGGCUCACCAAGGCAACGAUGCGUAGCCGACCUGAGAGGGUGAUCGGCCACACUGGGACUGAGACACGGCCCAGACUCCUACGGGAGGCAGCAGUAGGGAAUCUUCCGCAAUGGACGAAAGUCUGACGGAGCAACGCCGCGUGAGUGAUGAAGGUUUUCGGAUCGUAAAGCUCUGUUGUUAGGGAAGAACAAGUGCCGUUCAAAUAGGGCGGCACCUUGACGGUACCUAACCAGAAAGCCACGGCUAACUACGUGCCAGCAGCCGCGGUAAUACGUAGGUGGCAAGCGUUGUCCGGAAUUAUUGGGCGUAAAGCGCGCGCAGCGGUCUCUUAAGUCUGAUGUGAAAGCCCACGGCUCAACCGUGGAGGGUCAUUGGAAACUGGGGGACUUGAGUACAGAAGAGGAAAGUGGAAUUCCACGUGUAGCG